UUACUUGAGCGUUUAAAGGAUAACAGUGUUAACAACCAUCUAAAUUUUACAAUUUAAAUUAUUCAAUUUGUUUAAAAAGUCAUACAGUAAAGUAAUAAAAGUUAUUAUUAACAGAAAAGCUUUAUUCAAUCUUCGCACAGUUGAAAUAAUUUUAUUUUUUGUUUAUUUAUUUCUUAGCAUUUUUUUCUCGAUUUCAUAAAAGCAAAUUAUAUUAUUAUAUUAUUUAUUGAGAAAUAUAAAAUAAUUUAGUUUGCAUCAUUUUUAAUUUGAUGAGCCAUAAAAACAGCUGAAGAAGCUGAUAAAAUUGGUCUUACAGAUUGUGACUACAUAUUAUUAAAAAUACUAAAUUGUCUAUUUAGUAUUUUUAAUGAAAUGAUUAAAAUUUCAAAAAAUUUUGAAACGAUAAAUACGAGUGUUGAAUUACAAAAUUAUAAAACAAGUAUGGCGACAAAUGGCGUCAAAAUGGAUCUUAUAAAAAAACUUACUCGAAGAAAAAAAACAUUUUAUGGUGGAUAAAACUAACAACUGAAAGAAAUCUCGAGAGCUACAGUCUGAAGUCCAAGACUCGCUUUGGCAUUGGAGGGUGAGCGGUCACUGGGGAUUACGCUAGUAAUAUAUAUAUAUAUAUAUAUAUAUAUAUAUAUAUAUAUAUAUAUAUAUAUAUAUAUAUAUAUAUAUAUAUAAAUAUUGUAUAUAACCUUGUUGGAUAUACAUGUUACGCGUAAAAAUCCAACAAUUCUUAUCAAAGUAGUCAAUCGUUUUGGAGUCUACCUAUUUUCAAUGGCAUCCAUUUGUAAAAACAUCACUGUCAAAGUAGCCAGGAAAUAUAGUUGGUGAUAUACCCAAUCACGAUCAUGCAGGAAGUGUAGCUGUAGUGAAUACUAAAAUUUUGAAAAAACAAAAUAGUAAAGAAAGCUCAAAAAAGUGAUAAUAAACCAGCUACCAUAAUAUCCAAUGCAUUACUUGGCGCAUUUUCACCUGUGACUGCGUUAAUGCCUAAACCUCAAUCUAUAUCACGAACUAUUAAUCUUAUUCGUAUGGAAAAAAAUCCUCAGUUCCACAACCCAACAUCUCGAGGUAGUAACGGGGUGGAAUAGCAUUCCGUUUGAAUUUAAUUCCGACUUGCGCCAAAAGAUCCGGCUUCCUUCUUCAACAACUGUCAAUAUGGAAGAAAGUAUAGCAACUUAUGCCGGGGUCGCUGUGGUCGAGUUCCUUGAAAUUUGGUUUUAUGGGUCGGCCAGCCUGAGUUGAAAGAGGUACGAGGCCCAGAGACAACGAGUAGUCGGUCUCUUGGUUCGCAGCAACUGCCGUGGACGGACGAGUUCUACUACUACUCCUACUACUACCACUAUUUUCACAUCUACAAGUACUUAUAUUUAUACACGUGCUGUUAACCAUUGUCAUCCUCGUUAAGGGCUAAGAGCAUAUAAGCCCACCUGAGGUGGAAGCUUAUUUUAAUUGAGUUUAUUAUAAUUAUAAUCUAAAAAUUGUUAUCGUCGAAAGUUGGACCUGGUAAAUUUAAUGGAUUGAGAACUUGUUACUUGGGACUCUCGAGGUUUAUUGGUCUAAGGAAGGAGUUUCGUCUGAAUGAAGGACUGGUGGAUUUGUUCGAGUAAAGUUAGUCGUUAUAUAUUGUCGGGUUAUUUAAUAGUGUAAAUUUUAUUAUGAUUUAUUAAGUCAGUUUAUCACCAAAUUAGAUCAGUCGAGUCAGUUUCAUCAGCCACCCGGAAAACUCUUGUUCAUCUUUCAUCAUUUAUUAUUUGUAAAGCCACUUCGUUUUAAUAAAUGCCAUA
This is a long non-coding RNA of Microplitis mediator, 1793 nucleotides long. RefSeq lists it as uncharacterized. The record is from RefSeq and is a predicted model, not a curated record. Lineage: Eukaryota; Metazoa; Arthropoda; Insecta; Hymenoptera; Braconidae. The transcript has 4 exons.